UACGUAGGGUCCGCGCGUUGUCCGGAAUUAUUGGGCGUAAAGGGCUCGUAGGCGGUUCGUCACGUCGGGAGUGAAAACUCGGAGCUUAACUCCGAGCCUGCUUCCGAUACGGGCAGACUAGAGGUAGGCAGGGGAGAGCGGAACUCCUGGUGGAGCGGUGGAAUGCGCAGAUAUCAGGAAGAACACCGGUGGCGAAGGCGGCUCUCUGGGCCUUACCUGACGCUGAGGAGCGAAAGCGUGGGUAGCGAACAGG
Molecule: ribosomal RNA, 253 nt
Filed under: uncultured bacterium
Lineage: Bacteria
Description: partial 16S ribosomal RNA
Rfam family: Bacterial small subunit ribosomal RNA
Source: RNAcentral